This 328-nucleotide unclassified non-coding RNA is filed under the name soil metagenome. RNAcentral's name for it is "partial contains 5.8S ribosomal RNA, internal transcribed spacer 2, and large subunit ribosomal RNA". The stretch from base 1 to 120 matches the Rfam family "5.8S ribosomal RNA", at positions 35 to 154 of the family's 154-position model. The record is from RNAcentral.
GAUGAAGAACGCAGCGAAAUGCGAUAAGUAAUGUGAAUUGCAGAAUUCAGUGAAUCAUCGAAUCUUUGAACGCACAUUGCGCCCUCUGGUAUUCCGGGGGGCAUGCCUGUUCGAGCGUCAUUAUAACCACUCAAGCUCUCGCUUGGUAUUGGGGCUCGCGGUUCCGCGGCCCCUAAAAUCAGUGGCGGUGCCUGUCGGCUCUACGCGUAGUAAUACUCCUCGCGAUUGAGUCCGGUAGGUCUACUUGCCAGCAACCCCCAAUUUUUACAGGUUGACCUCGGAUCAGGUAGGGAUACCCGCUGAACUUAAGCAUAUCAAUAAGCGGAGA